RNAcentral lists this non-coding RNA (91 nucleotides) under Singulisphaera sp. GP187. Lineage: Bacteria; Pseudomonadati; Planctomycetota; Planctomycetia; Isosphaerales; Isosphaeraceae. The record is from RNAcentral.
GAGAGCCGGAUGCGGGAAAACCGCCCGUCCGGUUCGAUGAGCGGGGAGUGGAAACGGGGCGUUCAGCUACCGCGCCACUCCUCGACUCUAC